CUCCCUCUCUGAGAACCACAACAUACCACCAGCGCCACAUCGUCGUCACUCUGGCGAGCACCAUCACAAACCCCACCUGACCACCUAUGUCAGGAACUUAGAACCCUGGACUGGACACCCUCUCUCUCCACAGUGGCGCUGCCACUAUUCACAAAAAUUCCUCCGGUGAGUUCUCAUCGUCCCCAGCAAAGAAAUACCACAGGAAAACUUCCCCAAUUUUCCGGUGAAGGACCCAUGUGUUUGCAUGCUAUUUCCAGCCAACUUCGGCCACGACCCAGCCUUUUUUUGGUGCUUUUGUUAGUGGCGAUCUUGUCCUCCCUAGUUCGAAUGGCUCUUCGGCGACGGAGUAUUUGUGAGUGGACCCCUUCUUAAAUUGCAUGAUUCUUUAUUAAAUGCUAGGCUUGCAUUCAUGAAAACAUGAUUUCAUGAUUUUACAUUUUAUGCAUUAU
Malus domestica (apple) is the source of this 449-nucleotide long non-coding RNA. RefSeq lists it as uncharacterized. The record is from RefSeq and is a predicted model, not a curated record. NCBI's taxonomy places the organism in Eukaryota, Viridiplantae, Streptophyta, Magnoliopsida, Rosales, Rosaceae.